RNAcentral lists this ribosomal RNA (383 nucleotides) under uncultured prokaryote. RNAcentral's name for it is "partial 16S ribosomal RNA". The record is from RNAcentral.
CCCUAUGGGGCGCAGCAGGUGGCCAACGCGGCGGUGGCCCAGGUGGCCCUGAACCGGCACCAGCAGAUUUUGGCGCAGCAACUGCAAGCGUUGAACGACCCGGCGGCCCAGCAGCGGUUGGCACAGUCGCAGCAGCAGGCCGCGCGGCUGGCGGCGGCGGGCGCGGCCCAGAACGGGCAACAGGGGGCCGGGGCGUUUCCCUUCCCCUUCGCAUUCCAGGGCGCGGUAGGCUACCAGCCGGUGAUCAUCACGCUGCCCGAGGGGGCGAACAUGAUGGCCACGGCCGUGAUUUCCGCCGAUCGGCGCUACGUGCGGAUCACCUGCGUGCCCGUGUUCUCCGGAGUUGCCAAGGUGACUACGUUUAAUACCGAUGGCGGGAGGGC